This is a long non-coding RNA of Canis lupus familiaris (dog), 1855 nucleotides long. RefSeq lists it as uncharacterized. The transcript is spliced from 3 exons. Lineage: Eukaryota; Metazoa; Chordata; Mammalia; Carnivora; Canidae. The record is from RefSeq and is a predicted model, not a curated record.
AGGCAGGGACCCAGGGAGAAGCAGGCUCCCUGCGGGGCCCCUUGCGGGAGGCGUUGCGGAGGCUGGGACCACGCCCUGAGCCAAGCCGGAUGCUCAGCCACUGAGCACCCAGGCGUCCCUCUGGGGGCUUUUCAAAGAUGUUUUGCUCCGUGUCCUGGCGCAGAGCUGCCCAGAAAAACGGCCUACAGGCAGGUGUGAUGGUAUCACUUCAGAGAGAUGGCAAUUGAAAGCUUCUAUUGGGCGUCUCCUUCAACCUUGAAGUUACAGCCAGGAGACAGGUGUUUCAGAUAACAGUGGGAGUAUAACCAUAUGUAUGACACCUGCCUGUGCAUGACAUCAUGUGGACACUAAGAUCUGACUUCCAUUCUUUUUUUGGAGGAUUCUUGAAUUAUGUGAGUGUUGGGGAGAAGCAGAGCCUCAUCUCUAAUCAUAAAGAUAAAAAGCCAAAUAAACACCUCUAGGUUAUGAUCCUACCUAUGACUCUGAAUCUUGAAGGAAUAAAGCUGCAGUUGAGAAAUUAUUCACAAGAGCAAUAGCAAACCCUCAAGGGUCCAGCAAAGGCAGAGGCAAAAUGCCCACUGAUGUACUGCCAGUACAGCAUCCUAAUCACAUUUCCUGCAACAUCCCAAUCGGAUUUUCCUGAACACAUCCCAGUGUCCAACAAUGCCUGGGUCUUUGUGACUCCUGUGCAUUUUCCAGUCCUGGAAUUUCAACCUUCUCACUGAUCCAACAGCUUUCGCUUUCUCUUGAAAUGAACCUGAGCAUUUCUCUUGCUUACUUCCAGGAAUCCUAAUUGCCAGAUGGCAUUCAACAGUUUGUCAAACUCUCAUGGAUAAAGAAAGCACUUCACUGGUUUUUAUGUUGGGAGCAAACUGAAUUAACCCCUCUUUUUGCCCCAGCUAUCUCUCCCCUCCUUUAUCCCUCCACAGAUUUGCAAAAAGCAUAGCGCAUAUGAACUUUAGCUCCUGAUGCUAAAACAAUUUGUUUUUAUAUUUGCCUUAUGACUCCUUUUAUUUCAAAUGGGGACUCCUAUGUUCGUAAAAGAGAUUCCCUGAGGGAGGGUUGAGGGAGACUGGAAGAAAUUCUCAUAUGCUUAUCAAUGAGUCUGUGCCUAAUGCUUUCCAGUUUAUAGGCAUGCUGAUAAGAAAACAAAUUGAAAAAUGCAGAAUGUGGAACCAGCCUUGGCUAUCUCCCAUGCACAUUUCCCACAGCUCUAGACUCUAUUUCACUUCAGGCAAUUUCAAGGCAUCCUUGGCCACAAAUGAAGAAAUAUAGGUGUUUGUUUGGCUGUGUUUUCUGUUGUUGUUUUUGUUGUUGUUUUUAACAAUACAGAAAUAUCCAAUUUUUUCACUAUAGCCUCCAAAAAUAGUGGAUAUCAGUAAAAUGAGCAUGGAAAAGUUGACUUAACAAUGGAAUGUCUAUGUCCAGAAUCAAUUUGUUUAUUCUAGUUAAUGUUCUUAUGAACUCAAAUUUAAGUACAAUGAUAAACUGAGGAUGAGCAUCAUAUACAUUCAAGCAUAACCUGGGAUUCAGAAUAAAAGCACCUGAAAUAUUCCCCUGCUCCCUAAAGUUCUAUAGAAAUGGCUGUCCCUCUUAUGCUUUAGUUAAUCUGCCUGCUGCAAUGGGGUAUAAUUAAACCCUACCUGUGACGUAUGCAUACCUGCAGCACAAGACAGCAUAAGAUAGUAUAAUAACUUUUUAUUUUGUGGAUGAAAGUAUGUAAGAAGGUGUGUAAAAGAGCAUUUUCUUGUGGAGGCUGAGAAAAUUAAGGCCAUUCCACCUUAAGUUCAGCGUUAGCAUAAGUACAGCUGUCUCAAGCCCCUGUGAAUAAGAGCUGAACUUUACCUUACUUCAG